AUUGAACGCUGGCGGCAUGCCUUACACAUGCAAGUCGAACGGCAGCACGGGAGCAAUCCUGGUGGCGAGUGGCGAACGGGUGAGUAAUAUAUCGGAACGUGCCCAGUCGUGGGGAUAACGUAGCGAAAGCUACGCUAAUACCGCAUACGAUCUAUGGAUGAAAGCGGGGGAUCGCAAGACCUCGCGCGAUUGGAGCGGCCGAUAUCAGAUUAGGUAGUUGGUGAGGUAAAGGCUCACCAAGCCGACGAUCUGUAGCUGGUCUGAGAGGACGACCAGCCACACUGGGACUGAGACACGGCCCAGACUCCUACGGGAGGCAGCAGUGGGGAAUUUUGGACAAUGGACGCAAGUCUGAUCCAGCCAUUCCGCGUGCAGGAUGAAGGCCCUCGGGUUGUAAACUGCUUUUGUACGGAACGAAACGGUGAGCUCUAAUACAGUUUGCUAAUGACGGUACCGUAAGAAUAAGCACCGGCUAACU
Molecule: ribosomal RNA, 478 nt
Filed under: uncultured bacterium
Lineage: Bacteria
Description: bacterial SSU rRNA
Rfam family: Bacterial small subunit ribosomal RNA
Source: RNAcentral